Molecule: long non-coding RNA, 3199 nt
Filed under: Gossypium raimondii (Peruvian cotton)
Lineage: Eukaryota; Viridiplantae; Streptophyta; Magnoliopsida; Malvales; Malvaceae
Description: long non-coding RNA (GRAI_LNC001171)
Source: RNAcentral
UUUUAGAUUUUUCUCUGAAAGUUUUUUUUCAUGAAAGGAAAUAAAAAGUUUUUUGAAGCUUGAAAGUUUUAGGGUUUUUGUGAAAUGAUUUUUUUAUUUCUCAAAUAAAUUUGAAGCAAUCCAAGUUGUUGUCUUGAGCUAUUUGUUAUUAAAUUAAAAUAUUAGGCUGAAUUUAAUUCCCAUUUAUUAUUGUGGGUAUCCAAGAUCCUGUUUUGGACUAUUUGUAAAUUUAUUUGACAAGCUUUGCUGCACAUCUCCAUUUUUUACAUUUUAAUUUCGAUUUCAAAUUUCAGCUUUCUGCUUGCUUUUCUUAUUUCCAUUUUCUUACUUUCAAUACUUUCAUUUACAUUAAAUAUUUUAACAUAAAACUAUAUAUAAAUAUUAAAAAUAUUUUUUUAUUGUCAUAUCCUGUUGUGUCUUCAUUUUUAAAAAGUUACUAUCGUUAUGUCCGUAUCGUAUUGUACCAAUAUUGCAUGUAUGUGAUCAUGUUUCAUAGCUAAAAUUUGAACACUAAACCCAAAAAAGUUUAUAAUAUUUGAUUCCAAUCUUUAGCCAUAUUGUUGAAUUUGAAACCCAACUCCAUGAGUUCCUUUGAUGAUAAACCAUUUUUGUUGGUAUCAGUAAAUUUGAACCAAAAGAAUCCAUACGUCUGUUAAGGUAAACCACAUCAAUCUAAAAACUUUCAUCCAUUAUGUCAACUUUCUCAAUGUUCAGAUAAACUGAGACAACACUAAAAGUGCAUAUAACUCUUGUCUUCUAAAUGCAGUUUCAUGUUUCUAAUUUCAUGGGCAUGGGCAUGGGCAUGUGUAGCUAUUUUAUCAACUACUACACUCUACAGAAACUUAAAAUUUCUCAGUCCAUUGAAUACCCUUCUCAUUUAUUGCAUUCAGAAUAAAUAACAUUGAUCUUGUAUUUCUAUACCUAGUGUUGGUUUUAUCGGUUUGUUGUUGUCUUGUUUUAAGGAAGCAAACUAUAUGGAUGCUUUGAUCCUCCCCCAUCGCAUGGUGGUGAUUUGGAGUUCCUUACUGGCUUAGGAUCCCAACUUUGUUAAACUUAUGGCCAUUGAUAUAUAGUGUCUUGUUUUCUUCUUGUUCUAUUUUGACUUGACUUUGACGAUGCAGAGCUGUUUUAUCAAAGCGAAUUGUGCGCUGUUAUGCGAAACGAAACCUGGGUUUAUAUCUAUAUGAAAUUUUAUUAACCAUAGGCUCUGUAUGGUCUAAAUCUUUAUUUAUAUCUAUAGUUUCAAAUUCAUUAUCAAUAAUAAAUGUGUUUGCAAGAUUAACCGUAACUGUGCUCAUAUGUUGUAGGUUCAAUGCCCAUUCUCUGUGUCUAUUUCUUCUUUCAAUUAUUUGUCAUUUUCCUUCUACUUCUAAUUUGUAAUGGCUGCCACAGUUGUAUUAUUAUCAUUUAGUUGUUUCGUUGUAAGCAGAAACCUGGAAAAAGACUCAUCAUUGGUAGUCAGUUUUUGCUGCAUACAAAAUUCGUCACAUUUAUUUAUGAAUGUAUUAUUUCUAUCUACCUUUUUAUGCCUCCCCUUUUGUACUCGAUUUUGUUUAAAUUUAUAAUAUACCAGCUCCAUUUUUUAAAUAAUAAUAAUAAUAAACCUUACCGAAUUUUUAUCCAGCUUUUUCUGAAGUAUUACAUAAUUUUUUAUAUUAUAUUAAAUGAAUAUAUUAUAGCUUAUCAUAUGUUUUCAAUCCCCAAUAUUUUUAUUUUGUUUUUAUUUUUUUCUUUUACCAUUGCAGUGUAUUUGAUAUAUUAUCUUUUUAAAUUUUAUUUUAUAUAACAAAUUAUAUUUUCUUUAAAUUAAUAUGGGCCGAUUCGGGUCUGGGCUCGGUAUCUAUAUUCUAGGCCGAAUUUGGGUAGAAAUUUAAGCUCAUUUUUCAGGUCGAGCUUAAAAUUGUUUCAAGGCUCGACCUACUCGCAAGUUGAUGAAGAAGUUAAUGUCUUUUUCUAAUCCCAAUCAUUUAUCAAAAAUUUAAAAACACAAAAACACUAAAUUAUAAGAAUAUUUGCAUUAAAGAUGAAUAGAUUAGGUUUCUUUGAUGGAAGAUUUCUCCUUAUAUUUUUUCUACUUCUUGAUUAGAUUUCUUUGGUAGAAGAUUUGCAUCAGUGAUUAUUUUUUCUAUCGGUACCUUCUUCAGAUUUAGUUUCACAUGUUUUGGACACUCAUUAAUGUUAAAUGAGACAUUUUAAUGACAUGUUAAUUUUUUUAUUGAAGGGGCACACAUAGUGGCACCAGGAUGUUGAUUUGAAUACAAGGGUUAUGGUUAAUGAUAGGUUAAGAAAAUCUACAAAAGAGCCUAAGAUGAAUCCAAAGUAUUUGGAUUAACAAGCCACAACACGUAGAAGUCAUGCAGAGAAGACGUCCAAGUUGGAUCCACUAGCCGCUGAAGAAAUAGGACAUGUUUUAAUUUUCUGUUCUCAUUAUCCUAUUUCUGGGAGAUGUGAUUGGAGAAUUAGGAAAGAUUAAUAUUUAAAUUGCUUCAAGUGAAGAAUAAAGGGAGAGGAAUUCCAAUUUAGAUUUCUGCGGUUUGUUCUUACCCAAACUACAGCUUUGAUUGUCACCUAUGUUUAUUUAAUUAUCUCUUUAUUUUUGUCAUCUAACUAUAAAAAGUUAUAAGAUGAUGAAUUAAUUAUUAGUAAAUAUUUCAUUUUUUGUCAUCUAACUUUACUCAAUUAUGAAAAGUUCUAAAAUAAUCAUUCAACUGUUUAAUUUUAUCCUUUUUUUAAUAACUGGAUGUUUUCAUUCUUUCAUUAACGAGUUGGUGGCUAAAAAAAAUGUAAAUAAUUAAAAACUAAAAAAAACAAUCCCAUCAAGGGAAGUAUUCUUCUCUUAAAAAGUAAAUGUGAUUUCAAUAAUAUCUAUGGUUUUACAUAUAAUUAUUUUUGUUGAUUGGACAAGUAUUUGUUUGGUUCAAACGUCCUUUCGCAUAUCAACUGACAAUGGUUUCUUUUCCCUUGAAAGCAGACAGCAGACGACAUCGAGAGUUAUUCAAAGCAAAUUGUCCAAAUCCCAGAAACAGAAACUUGAAAAGGUAGAAAACAACUAAGAUUUGAGGUCGAUAGAUCGAUUGUAAUGGAAAAGAUUUCUAGGCCGCUUUCUUUUUCUCUUCUUAAGAUCAUGAGUUCCUUUACUGCUUACAACCACGUGCAACUUUAAGCAGCCAUUAAAGAAGAAAUGAAUCCUCUAUCGCCA